GUUCCUAUACAGGUUAACCUGACUGGUACAAGGAACAACACCUCUCUCAUCCCAUUGGUGGGACAAGAGAAAAAACUCUCAGAACAUCUGUGUCAUUGUUUUGAGAACUAAAAUCUUAUUUACACAACAGUCUUUGAGAGAAAAAAGCUUCUUAAAAGACUUUCCCUUGGGAAACAGAUCAGCCACUGAGAGCCUGAAACUCUCUCAGGCUCAGAAAAUCAUGUCCACAAUCCACAACACUGCCACUUCAGCCUGUCACUGUCACAUAAUCCCCCCUAGGUGACAUUUCCUCCUGGAUAUUAGAGGUUUUGUACUAGAAAAGGUCCUGAGAGACUGAAAUUACAAAAACUAACCAGCCCUGAGGAGGUCUGUGCUGAUCAGGACAUUCACCAAUAUAACACUGUUGAGUCUUCUGGGAAAACUUGAUCAGAAUGGGAAUCUGAAUGUAAACAAAUGACUACUUCUGGAUUCUUCCAGCCCAGCAGGCCAGAACAGGUAAGAGCAAGCCAAGAAUUACAGAGUUCUGUGCAAUUAAUAAAAGUGUCAUCCCUGGACAUUUUGCCACUGACAUGGACCAGCUCCUGCAUUUUGCUCACCACUACAAGUGCCAUUGCACCGAGAAUUAUUGACAUUGCCACCGAGGGGGCUAUAGCUGUGUGAGUAUAAAUAAGCACAGUGCUAGGAAAAGGCACUCAAGGAUAAAUAGCAAAGGUAGUGCAUUGUGUGGGACCAAAAUAACUCCAUGCUGUUCACUGACAGUAUCUUCUGCUGGCUGUCAUGUACUGGCUAUUUCCAGCCAGGGCCCUUGGCUUCUCCUGAAAGGCAAAAAGCAUGUGUGGCUUCAGAAGCCAUGGGGCUCCUCUCUGUCCCUCCAAGAUGGUGACACUGAGAAGCUGGGACCCACUUACAAGUACACUGUGAGUAGCAGUGCUCGAUAUCCAACAUCUGCCAGCAUUUUCAGAGCUGUGAAGAUCCCAGGUAAAAUUACCAGCACCUGUAUGGACUCCCUCUCUUGCA
RNAcentral lists this long non-coding RNA (1017 nucleotides) under Parus major (Great Tit). Its description in RNAcentral is "lncRNA (ENSPMJG00000001373.1)". The record is from RNAcentral. Lineage: Eukaryota; Metazoa; Chordata; Aves; Passeriformes; Paridae.